Molecule: ribosomal RNA, 832 nt
Filed under: Dietzia sp. A12
Lineage: Bacteria; Bacillati; Actinomycetota; Actinomycetes; Mycobacteriales; Dietziaceae
Description: bacterial SSU rRNA
Rfam family: Bacterial small subunit ribosomal RNA
Source: RNAcentral
CCGAUGCGCGCUUACCUGCAGUCCAAGGUAAGGCCCCUUCGGGGGUACACCAGUGGCGAACGGGUGAGUAACACGUGGGUAAUCUGCCCUGCACUUCGGGAUAAGCCUGGGAAACCGGGUCUAAUACCGGAUAUGAGCUCCUGCCGCAUGGUGGGGGUUGGAAAGUUUUUCGGUGCAGGAUGAGUCCGCGGCCUAUCAGCUUGUUGGUGGGGUAAUGGCCUACCAAGGCGACGACGGGUAGCCGGCCUGAGAGGGUGAUCGGCCACACUGGGACUGAGACACGGCCCAGACUCCUACGGGAGGCAGCAGUGGGGAAUAUUGCACAAUGGGCGGAAGCCUGAUGCAGCGACGCCGCGUGGGGGAUGACGGUCUUCGGAUUGUAAACUCCUUUCAGUAGGGACGAAGCGAGAGUGACGGUACCUGCAGAAGAAGCACCGGCCAACUACGUGCCAGCAGCCGCGGUAAUACGUAGGGUGCAAGCGUUGUCCGGAAUUACUGGGCGUAAAGAGCUCGUAGGCGGUUUGUCACGUCGUCUGUGAAAUCCUCCAGCUCAACUGGGGGCGUGCAGGCGAUACGGGCAGACUUGAGUACUACAGGGGAGACUGGAAUUCCUGGUGUAGCGGUGAAAUGCGCAGAUAUCAGGAGGAACACCGGUGGCGAAGGCGGGUCUCUGGGUAGUAACUGACGCUGAGGAGCGAAAGCAUGGGGAGCAAACAGAUUAGAUACCCUGGUAGUCCAUGCCCGUAAACGGUGGGCGCUAAGUGUGGGGGUCUUCCCCGGAUUCCCUGCCCUAGCUAACGCAUUAGCGCCCCCCCCGGGGAGUACCGCCCCC